UGCAGAUGAUGUUUUCUCACGAUGGUCUUCUGAAAUGAUUUUGAAGAUAAUGCCUAAUGGCUUUACUGAUGCCUCCCU
Molecule: small nucleolar RNA, 78 nt
Organism: Megalobrama amblycephala (Wuchang bream)
Lineage: Eukaryota; Metazoa; Chordata; Actinopteri; Cypriniformes; Xenocyprididae
Product: small nucleolar RNA SNORD35
Exons: 1
Source: RefSeq, a predicted model, not a curated record